GACAAGACAUCUGUUACUCCACUGAUCACCAGGAUAGAUGUGGCACAUCUGGCUGGCCAAGUGGGCGACCC
RNAcentral lists this small RNA (71 nucleotides) under Tursiops truncatus (common bottlenose dolphin). RNAcentral describes it as "7SK RNA (ENSTTRG00000024481.1)". The record is from RNAcentral. Lineage: Eukaryota; Metazoa; Chordata; Mammalia; Artiodactyla; Delphinidae.